ACCCACCAAGGUCUGUCAUAUCACGCUGCAGGAAGACCUGUACAUGUGGCCUGGUGCCUGCUGUGGCAGCCUCCAUGCUCAGAGACCUGUGGGGCUUGAAUUCCCUUGUUUCCAGCAGAGCCACAGAGGCUGAGGGCCUGUGGAAGCAGUGCAGACUUCCUUCCCGCCAGGCCAGGAUUUUUCUGGCAUCAUGAAUGCAGUCCCAGCCUUGUGCAUUCUGAGAUCCCUUCCAUUGCCACAAGGUGAGGUCUGAUGGGGAAGGCAUUUUGUCAUUCCUCAGCUGCCUCUCUCUGCAAAGAUCCCACGCCCCCACUGAGAUCCCACCUGGCACACGGAGGGGAGUUUGGCCCAUCUUUGGGAUCAACCCCAAGCCAGGGGCCCUCAUGGCCAUGCCACACAUCACAACACCCCUCUGGUAAGGAUGUUGAGCUAGAGGGUAGAAGGCAGAGGCGGGUGGGGACUGCCUUGGUUGGGUCAAUGAUGAGAACUCAUAUGAUCCCGAAGACAGAUGAAGACCUAAAAAUUAUGCUCAAUAAGAUUACGCUGAGGCCCAGUGAAGGGCACCUCACUGAGGCGGGAUCCUGGUGACCCCUGUGACCUGGCAUAGCGCUGGCACCUGGGGAUCGAGGCCACUGAUCUCUCGAGAUUCCCCAGUGAGAUUCUCCUUGGCCUCUGUGCCUCUGUGUGCCUAAGAUGUGCUCCCGCCCUGGGGCGUUGUGCGCCUAUUACUAGGGCUUCCCGGGACUCAUUCCUGGGAACCCAACUAAGCUCCCUUGGUGUCCUGGUGUCUUUCAGUGGGACGUUGUCUUGGUGACCAGGGUCUCGCCAUUGAGCCCACCAUGGGAGGAGAAUGGAUGCCUAUCCCGCGCCCCGUUCAAUAUCCCACCUGGCGCACGGAGGGGAGUUUGGCCUAUCUUCGGGAAUUGGCCCCAAGCCAGGGGCCCUAAUGGCCACCCUGCACAUCACAAUCCCUCUCUGAUCAUGUACCCCGACGGAGAUCCCACCUGGCACACGGAGGGGAGUUUGGCCCAUCUUCGGGAACAGGCCCCAAGCCAUGGGCCCUCAAGGCCACCCUGUGCAUCACAACCCCUCUCUGAUACCGUGGCCCCACUGAGAUCCCACCUGGCGCAUGGAGGGACAUUUGGCCCAUCGUUGGGAACAAGCCUCAAGCCAGGAGCCCCCAUGGCCAUGCCACACAUCAAAAAACUUCUCUGAUCCCGUGCUCUGACCAAGAACCCACCUGUGUCACGGAGGGGAGUUUGGCCCAUCUUCAGGAACAAGCCUCAUGCCAGUGGCCCCCAUGGCCAUGCCGCAUAUCACAAAACCUCUCUGGGGGACGUUGCCAUGGUAACCAGGAUCCCACUUGAGCCCACCAUUGGACGAUAGUGGACACCUGUAUCCCGCGCUGUGACUGAGAUCCCACCUGGAGCACGGUGGGGAGUUUGGCCCAUCUUUAGGAACAGGCCACGACCCAGGGACCCCCAUGGCUACUCUGCCCAUAACAAAACUUCUCUGUGGGACAUCGUCUUGGUGAUCAGGGUCUCGCAUUGAGCCCACCAUGGGAGGAGAAUGGAUGCCUGUAUCCCAUGCACCCACUGAGAUCCCACCUGGAGCACGGAGGGGAGUUUGGCCCAUCUUCAGGAACAUGCCUCAAGCUAGGGGCCCCCAUGGCCAUGCAGCACAUCAUAAAACAUCCUUGGUUGUCUGGAAACAACACGUCACCCACGACACCUGCAAGGGAUGCCCCCGUCCCCCACGGGAUCCUCUAGUUGACGGCCCAUGGCCCCAUUUCCCAGUCUGGAGGGCACUCCAGUUUUUGUCAGAAUCACUGAUGCCUUACUAGGCACACAAGAUGCUGUGGUGGGAAUUGCACACCCUCAAUGUGACCUCCUGCGUGGAAACAGUGCAACCAAAUUUCACAAAAUGGGUUUUGGAGGCGGGGGCCAGAUCCUGUGCCCCGACCGAGAUCCCACCUGGCGCAAGGAGGGGAGUUUGGCCCAUCAUUGGGAACAAACCUCAAGCCAGGGGCCCCCAAGUCCACCCUGCACAUCACAAAACCUCUCCGAUCCCACCCCACGACCGAGAUCUCACCUGGUGCAUGGAGGGGAGUGUGGCCAAUCUUCGGAAACAGGCCCCAAGCCAAGUGCCCCUAUGGCCACCCUGCAUAUCACAAACCCUCUCUGUGGGACGUCGCCUUGGUGACCAGGGUCUCACCAUUGAGCUCACAAUGGGAGGAGAGUGGAUGUCUGUAUCCUGCACCCUGACUGAGCUCUCACCUGGCACACGAGGGGAGUUUGGCCCAUCUUCGGGAGCAGGCCUCGAGCCAGGGCCCUCAUGUCCACCCAGUGCAUCACAAACCCUCUCUAAUCCCCUGCCCAAAUGAAGAUCCCACCUGGCCCACAUAAUCAAUUGGCCCAGCUUCUGGAAUAUGCCUACACUAAGGUGCCACCCCAGCCAUCUCGCAUUCAAGACACCCUCUUUGUGGGACGUCAUCUUGGCCAGGGUUUCACCAUUUCCCCCACCAUGCCAGGUGAAAGAUGCCACUGCUUGUAGUGGAGGCCCUAGAGGACAUGGUGUGGAUUUUGAGGCCUGUCUCAUGGCAAUGCUGGCCUGUGUGUUGAACUGGGGCCUGCUAUGGCCACAGAGGUCCGUCCUUUCUGUGAACAUCAGCCCUGUGCAAUUGGCUGUCAGUAAAGCAACAGAUCUUCUUGGCAUCUGGAAAGUAUGUAAAUGACAAUGGAUGGCCUCUUCCUCGCUGGUCCAUGGAACAGUUUUACUGGUGUGAGAGAAUGCCCAACUGGAGGCUCAAACCACUGCAGUAUUUGGAGGUCAAAAGCUAGAACAGGUUACUAUUUUUUUUUCAAGUGAACAAGUUACUUUCAAGAAAGAAAGUUUUGCUGAGAUAGGAUUGGAAUCAGGUUUUCCACUUCAAGGAAUAGAGGCCUGCACUCUUACUUAAAUGGGGCAAUAAAAUUCUUAUUUUCUGCUGUGGGAAGGAAUGAACAAAAGGCAACAAUCUGGAGAUACAGGAAGUUAGAAGAGUCACUUAUAAAAUGAAUUCACUGAACUGUAUUACAAUCUCCCCAGCAUUAGGUAUGUAUUCUAGUACUAAUUUUUAAGCAUUAGCCCAACUUACCCGGAC
Long non-coding RNA from Leopardus geoffroyi (Geoffroy's cat), 3142 nucleotides. RefSeq lists it as uncharacterized. NCBI's taxonomy places the organism in Eukaryota, Metazoa, Chordata, Mammalia, Carnivora, Felidae. The record is from RefSeq and is a predicted model, not a curated record. The transcript has 20 exons.